AAAUUGAAGAGUUUGAUCAUGGCUCAGAUUGAACGCUGGCGGCAGGCCUAACACAUGCAAGUCGAACGGUAACAGGAAACAGCUUGCUGUUUCGCUGACGAGUGGCGGACGGGUGAGUAAUGUCUGGGAAACUGCCUGAUGGAGGGGGAUAACUACUGGAAACGGUAGCUAAUACCGCAUAACGUCGCAAGACCAAAGAGGGGGACCCUCGGGCCUCUUGCCAUCGGAUGUGCCCAGAUGGGAUUAGCUAGUAGGUGGGGUAACGGCUCACCUAGGCGACGAUCCCUAGCUGGUCUGAGAGGAUGACCAGCCACACUGGAACUGAGACACGGUCCAGACUCCUACGGGAGGCAGCAGUGGGGAAUAUUGCACAAUGGGCGCAAGCCUGAUGCAGCCAUGCCGCGUGUAUGAAGAAGGCCUUCGGGUUGUAAAGUACUUUCAGCGGGGAGGAAGGGAGUAAAGUUAAUACCUUUGCUCAUUGACGUUACCCGCAGAAGAAGCACCGGCUAACUCCGUGCCAGCAGCCGCGGUAAUACGGAGGGUGCAAGCGUUAAUCGGAAUUACUGGGCGUAAAAGCACCCGACAGUUUGUUAAGUCAGAUGUAUGUAAUCCCAAUCAACACGAGACUGCAUCUGAUACUGGCAAGCUUGAGUCUCGUAGAGGGGGGUAGAAUUCCAGGUGUAGCGGUGAAAUGCGUAGAGAUCUGGAGGAAUACCGGUGGCGAAGGCGGCCCCCUGGACGAAGACUGACGCUCAGGUGCAGCAGUAGAACAAACAAGGAUUAGAUACAGUAGUCCACGCCAUGCAGCAAUGUCGGCGGAGGUUGUGCCCUUGAGGCGUGGCUUCCGGAGCUAACGCGUUAAGUCGACCGCCUGGGGAGUACGGCCGCAAGGUUAAAACUCAAAUGAAUUGACGGGGGCCCGCACAAGCGGUGGAGCAUGUGGUUUAAUUCGAUGCAACGCGAAGAACCUUACCUGGUCUUGACAUCCACGGAAGUUUUCAGAGAUGAGAAUGUGCCUUCGGGAACCGUGAGACAGGUGCUGCAUGGCUGUCGUCAGCUCGUGUUGUGAAAUGUUGGGUUAAGUCCCGCAACGAGCGCAACCCUUAUCCUUUGUUGCCAGCGGUCCGGCCGGGAACUCAAAGGAGACUGCCAGUGAUAAACUGGAGGAAGGUGGGGAUGACGUCAAGUCAUCAUGGCCCUUACGACCAGGGCUACACACGUGCUACAAUGGCGCAUACAAAGAGAAGCGACCUCGCGAGAGCAAGCGGACCUCAUAAAGUGCGUCGUAGUCCGGAUUGGAGUCUGCAACUCGACUCCAUGAAGUCGGAAUCGCUAGUAAUCGUGGAUCAGAAUGCCACGGUGAAUACGUUCCCGGGCCUUGUACACACCGCCCGUCACACCAUGGGAGUGGGUUGCAAAAGAAGUAGGUAGCUUAACCUUCGGGAGGGCGCUUACCACUUUGUGAUUCAUGACUGGGGUGAAGUCGUAACAAGGUAACCGUAGGGGAACCUGCGGUUGGAUCACCUCCUUACCUUAAAGAAGC
RNAcentral lists this ribosomal RNA (1543 nucleotides) under Escherichia coli. RNAcentral describes it as "bacterial SSU rRNA". It matches the Rfam family "Bacterial small subunit ribosomal RNA". The record is from RNAcentral. Lineage: Bacteria; Pseudomonadati; Pseudomonadota; Gammaproteobacteria; Enterobacterales; Enterobacteriaceae.